This 654-nucleotide ribosomal RNA is filed under the name uncultured archaeon. RNAcentral's name for it is "bacterial SSU rRNA". It matches the Rfam family "Archaeal small subunit ribosomal RNA", at positions 508 to 1160 of the family's 1478-position model. The record is from RNAcentral.
GCCUAAAGCGUCCGUAGCCGGCUCUGUAAGUUUUCGGUUAAAUCCAUAUGCUCAACAUAUGGGCCGCCGGGAAUACUGCAUAGCUAGGGAGUGGGAGAGGUAGACGGUACUCCGUAGGAAGGGGUAAAAUCCUUUGAUCUAUGGAUGACCACCUGUGGCGAAGGCGGUCUACCAGAACACGUUCGACGGUGAGGGAUGAAAGCUGGGGGAGCAAACCGGAUUAGAUACCCGGGUAGUCCCAGCUGUAAACGAUGCAAACUCAGUGAUGCAUUGGCUUGUGGCCAGUGCAGUGCCGCAGAGAAGUCGUUAAGUUUGCCGCCUGGGAAGUACGUACGCAAGUAUGAAACUUAAAGGAAUUGGCGGGGGAGCACCACAAGGGGUGAAGCCUGCGGUUCAAUUGGAGUCAACGCCAGAAAUCUUACCCGGAGAGACAGCAGAAUGAAGGUCAAGUUGAAGCCUUUACCAGACAAGCUGAGAAGUGGUGCAUGGCCGUCGCCAGCCCGUGCCGUGAGGUGUCCUGUUAAGUCAGGUAACGAGCGAGAUCCUUGCCUCUAGUUGCUACCAUUACUCUCAGGAGUAGUGGAGCGAAUUAGCGGGACUGCUGUAGUUAAUACGGAGGAAGGAGAGGGCCACGGCAGGUCAGUAUGCCCCGAA